AGGGUGUUUUGUACCAAUCAUGUGGUGACUGGCUCCCCUGUGCCUGCGGCUGAUUAGCUUUGGGAGCGCGUGGAAUAUUGUGCUCAGCUCAUUGCUCUGGAUCGAUCCUAGCCUUGGUGGCUAUGAAGCUGGCUGGUCAUGGAGGCGAUCCUGGCUCGUCAAGCUCGGGCUUUUGCUGCUGGCCCACAAGCCAGCCGAGUAGUGGAUCAUCGUCAUCAUCGGUGAAGGUCCCGUAGAUCGGAUCUGCAUACUUGAGCUCCACUUUCUCCUAAAUGUUCUUUAGCCUCAACCGUAGAUUGUAGUGCACAUAAACAAGGUCGUUGAGGCGCUGUUAUGUCAAACGGUUUCCCUAUUUACUGUGAAUUAGGGCGAAGGUGGACCAGUUGCGCUCACAACCACUAGAAGAGACUGUUUGAAAGAGAAUCCGGAUAG
Molecule: long non-coding RNA, 432 nt
Filed under: Phoenix dactylifera (date palm)
Lineage: Eukaryota; Viridiplantae; Streptophyta; Magnoliopsida; Arecales; Arecaceae
Description: long non-coding RNA (PDAC_LNC016113)
Source: RNAcentral